Long non-coding RNA from Aedes albopictus (Asian tiger mosquito), 2169 nucleotides. RefSeq lists it as uncharacterized. The record is from RefSeq and is a predicted model, not a curated record. The transcript is spliced from 2 exons. Lineage: Eukaryota; Metazoa; Arthropoda; Insecta; Diptera; Culicidae.
CAUUCGAACUGGAAGCAUCGCACACACACCAGCGCAGAAACCCCAACCAAAUCAACUUCCGUUCCGUUUGGUUUGCUGUGCGCUGACUUCGUUCAAGCAAGCAAAGCAAGAAGCAAACCAUCUCCGCGCGACUGGCCGAUGGAUUCAAAAGUGUUUCGUGCGCGUGAGUGCGGUUGUGUUGGUGCUGCAUAUCGAACCACCACCCGCCCCAUCUCGCUCGCUCCAACGGACAAUCCCGUGCGAGUGCACCAACACCCGGAACCAAACGGGACCCCGACGGUCGGUUGCUGCGGUGGUGUGCGUGCAAUGAUAUGGCAACGAACGGGAAACCGAACGAUGAUGAUUCGGGUCGUCGUCGUCGCCGUCGGUCGUGGUGACCGUUUUCUGGCCGUGUGCGCGCGUUCAGUCAGUUUCAGGAACGCGAUGAGUAGACAUCGAUGUAACGCGUUGUCGUCGUUGUUUCCAAUCUGAAGAAGAAAACCAUCAUCAGCAAGCAGCCAGCCAGCUAGCAAGCAGAUUUUCCUACCUUGGUGUGGAGCAAAUCCGCGCGAUACAGCGAGAGAGAGUGAACGAGAAAGUGCGCUCUUCUCGAGUCUAGUAACACUGAGCCAAAACGAGAAGGAAGAGAGGCACUUUGUGAGGAGUUGUGUGAAGGCGAGUGGAAAAAAAAGUACAGAAAGAAGUUAGGAAGUUGAAGAGUGUCUCUCCGUUUGGAAUGGAAAAAGUGUGGAAAAGUGCUGAAAUUCAAGUUUGAAAAUCCGAGGAAAAAAGUGUAAUUAUCAAGGAAUUUGUGGUUUCCGGUCAAUAUUUUGUGUGGGGUUAUCAGCGAGAUAACCCGAAGUUAUCCUGAGAGUCGGAGCCCCAAAUUGGAUUAAAAAUUUAAUUCCGGUUCGCGAAUUUCGGAAAUUCCGUGGAUGAAAAAGUUUUGACGAGUGAAAGAGAAGAAUUGAGUGACAGUUGGACCUCGUCUGGUCGCCUUGCUGAUCGGCGUUCGAUCGCGGCGGUGCCCAUCAGGGAAGAAGAAGAAUGUUUUCCUGGUCGACGAGUGUCGACACCCGAGUAAAAAUGGCGAUCAGAUCGAAGAACAAAGAUUGCAUAAUAUAAAUUGUUACGAAUCAGAAUUGUUAAGUGUGUUAAAUCUGCUACCGGAAAUUUGAAGGGUAAAAUUACGAUAAAUCCUAUACGGAAAAGUGUGUGAGAAUUUGAUAACAAAGGAGUAAAAGGUAAUUUACGCACGGCGAGAAAAAAAAUCAGUGAAAAAUAUCAUCUUCAUUGUCCAAAUUUUGAGAGUUUGUUAAGUUUCAAUCCGAGCGUUCUUCGUGUUCGUCGAGGUUUUUGUAUAAAAAAAAUAGCUCUUGUAAAUAGUUUCCCCCAUUUCGGUGAAUUUGAGGAGCCGUUCAAGUGAGACUGAAAGCGGAAGAAGGAGCCCAGCCUCGCCCAUCCUGUGGACGGAUCCAGUAUUUCCGCUAGGAAGAGAAGAGCGUGAACCCAAUCCGGACCAGUUCCUGCCCCCAAUCCGACGAGGGGAUGGAAUCCGGAGCUAAGGUCUGUGUUCCGUGGCGUGAUCGGGUUCCCAGGGGAGAAAGUGUCCGUUUCGUGUGAACCUGUGUCUGUUUUCACUGGGGAGGGAAGUUGGGAGCUUUCCUCGAAAUAGAAAGAGGGAAGGGGCAGUGCAGCAGCCAGAAUGUGCUGAGAAAGUCUGGAUUCUCGGCGAAAUCCGGAAUACGCGAUUAAUUUUCCCGGCUGAUAGAGAUCGUUCCGCCUCGGAACUUCUCUUCAGCUUCGUUUGUCCCACGAAUAGAGUGCUUUUUCGCCAGUGUGUUCUUGUCAUAUUUGGUGCAGCAGAGUGUGCAAUAAUUGUCUACGUCUAUCCGGGGGCCAUCCAGACGAAUUCCGGCGUCCGAUCGUUCGUCGUCCGGAGAAGUAUGAUGUAACAGUAUCCAGCCAACCGAAUCGCCGUGUUUGGCCGUGUUGUUCCCCUAGGUUUAUCUCGCAGUCGUGUCCGCAGAUCCUGAUCAGGGUCCUUCCCCUGGUCAGACUACGCGGUUCCGCGGUCUCGUGCGUCGUGAUUGAAGCCAAAUCGUGUCCCAAGUGAAAAUUCGGUGAAUCGCGGCGCUGUUCCCGGGUAAGUGUGUCCCUCCCUUAGUCGGCCCCCGACCAGAGUUCAGU